ACAGGCUUAACACAUGCAAGUCGAGGGGCAGCACAGGUAGCAAUACCGGGUGGCGACCGGCGCACGGGUGAGUAACGCGUAUGCAACUUACCUAUCAGAGGGGGAUAACCCGGCGAAAGUCGGACUAAUACCGCAUGAAGCAGGGGCCCCGCAUGGGGAUAUUUGCUAAAGAUUCAUCGCUGAUAGAUAGGCAUGCGUUCCAUUAGGCAGUUGGCGGGGUAACGGCCCACCAAACCGACGAUGGAUAGGGGUUCUGAGAGGAAGGUCCCCCACAUUGGUACUGAGACACGGACCAAACUCCUACGGGAGGCAGCAGUGAGGAAUAUUGGUCAAUGGCCGAGAGGCUGAACCAGCCAAGUCGCGUGAGAGAUGAAGGUUCUAUGGAUCGUAAACCUCUUUUAUAAGGGAAUAAAGUGCGGGACGUGUCCCGUUUUGUAUGUACCUUAUGAAUAAGGAUCGGCUAACUCCGUGCCAGCAGCCGCGGUAAUACGGAGGAUCCGAGCGUUAUCCGGAUUUAUUGGGUUUAAAGGGUGUGUAGGCGGCCUUUUAAGUCAGCGGUGAAAGUCUGUGGCUCAACCAUAGAAUUGCCGUUGAAACUGGGGGGCUUGAGUAUGUUUGAGGCAGGCGGAAUGCGUGGUGUAGCGGUGAAAUGCAUAGAUAUCACGCAGAACCCCGAUUGCGAAGGCAGCCUGCCAAGCCAUGACUGACGCUGAUGCACGAAAGCGUGGGGAUCAAACAGGAUUAGAUACCCUGGUAGUCCACGCAGUAAACGAUGAUCACUAGCUGUUUGCGAUACACUGUAAGCGGCACAGCGAAAGCGUUAAGUGAUCCACCUGGGGAGUACGCCGGCAACGGUGAAACUCAAAGGAAUUGACGGGGGCCCGCACAAGCGGAGGAACAUGUGGUUUAAUUCGAUGAUACGCGAGGAACCUUACCCGGGUUUGAACGCAUUCGGACCGAGGUGGAAACACCUUUUCUAGCAAUAGCCGUUUGCGAGGUGCUGCAUGGUUGUCGUCAGCUCGUGCCGUGAGGUGUCGGCUUAAGUGCCAUAACGAGCGCAACCCUUGCCACUAGUUACUAACAGGUGAUGCUGAGGACUCUGGUGGGACUGCCAGCGUAAGCUGCGAGGAAGGCGGGGAUGACGUCAAAUCAGCACGGCCCUUACAUCCGGGGCGACACACGUGUUACAAUGGCGUGGACAAAGGGAGGCCACCUGGCGACAGGGAGCGAAUCCCCAAACCACGUCUCAGUUCGGAUCGGAGUCUGCAACCCGACUCCGUGAAGCUGGAUUCGCUAGUAAUCGCGCAUCAGCCAUGGCGCGGUGAAUACGUUCCCGGGCCUUGUACACACCGCCCGUCAAGCCAUGGGAGCCGGGGGUACCUGAAGUCCGUAACCGCGAGGAUCGGCCUAGGGUAAAACUGGUGACUGGGGCUAAGUCA
Molecule: ribosomal RNA, 1439 nt
Filed under: uncultured organism
Description: SSU rRNA
Rfam family: Bacterial small subunit ribosomal RNA
Source: RNAcentral